CCUACGGGUGGCAGCAGUGGGGAAUAUUGCACAAUGGGGGAAACCCUGAUGCAGCGACGCAGCGUGAGGGAAGAAGGAUUUCGGGAUGUAAAGCUCUAUCAGCAGGGAAGAAAAUGACGGUACCUGAUUAAGAAGCCCCGGCUAACUACGGGCCAGCAGCCGCGGUAAUACGUAGGGGGCAAGCGUUAUCCGGAUUUACUGGGUGUAAAGGGGGCGUAGACGGCAGCACAAGUCUGGAGUGAAAUGCCGGGGCUUAACCCCGGAACUGCUUUGGAAACUGUGCAGCUAGAGUGCAGGAGAGGUAAGUGGAAUUCCUAGUGUAGCGGUGAAAUGCGUAGAUAUUAGGAGGAACACCAGUGGCGAAGGCGGCUUACUGGACUGUAACUGACGUUGAGGCUCGAAAGCGUGGGGAGCAAACAGGAUUAGAUACCCUAGUAGUC
RNAcentral lists this ribosomal RNA (440 nucleotides) under uncultured bacterium. Its description in RNAcentral is "partial 16S ribosomal RNA". It matches the Rfam family "Bacterial small subunit ribosomal RNA", at positions 338 to 795 of the family's 1533-position model. The record is from RNAcentral.